Molecule: transfer RNA, 82 nt
Filed under: Puccinia graminis f. sp. tritici CRL 75-36-700-3
Lineage: Eukaryota; Fungi; Basidiomycota; Pucciniomycetes; Pucciniales; Pucciniaceae
Description: tRNA-Ser (AGA) (tRNA-Ser-AGA-3-1)
Rfam family: tRNA
About the family: Transfer RNA (tRNA) molecules are approximately 80 nucleotides in length.
Source: RNAcentral
GACAACGUGGCCGAGCGGUUAAGACGAUUGACUAGAAAUCAAUUGGGAUUUUCCCGCGUAGGUUCAAAUCCUGCCGUUGUCG